GAGUGUAUAGCAAAUGGAAAGCCAAGUCAAAUUGGUUAUAGCCAUUUGGCGGAAGCAUUCUAAAUCUUGCCAACAGUCAUCCUCACUAUCUGGGUCAAAAAUUUCACAAUGACUACAUCAAAUUGGUAUCAUAGCAAGUUCGGCUGAGAUUUCUUAAUCUCUCCCCCAGUCCUGUGGUCAUUUUUUCAUCCACCAAACACAUUCAGCUAGUUAGGUUGUGUUGAUUUCUUGGAACAUAGCAAAGUGAUUUUAUGGCCUAGAGUUAACGUGAUUUAGAAUUUGAAAGGAAACAACUUUCCUCAUGAAAUCCAGUCACUUUGCAACUAAAAAACAACAGUAACGCUUUUCAAGUGGGACAAAAUCACAUCAUUUAAAACAACCUUUCAACCA
This 390-nucleotide unclassified non-coding RNA is filed under the name Hevea brasiliensis (rubber tree). Lineage: Eukaryota; Viridiplantae; Streptophyta; Magnoliopsida; Malpighiales; Euphorbiaceae. The record is from RNAcentral.